Molecule: ribosomal RNA, 491 nt
Filed under: uncultured bacterium
Lineage: Bacteria
Description: partial 16S ribosomal RNA
Rfam family: Bacterial small subunit ribosomal RNA
Source: RNAcentral
GUGAACGCUGGCGGUAGGCCUAACACAUGCAAGUCGAACGACAGCACAGUAAGAGCUUGCUCUUACGGGUGGCGAGUGGCGGACGGGUGAGGAAUGCAUCGGAAUCUACUUUUUCGUGGGGGAUAACGUAGGGAAACUUACGCUAAUACCGCAUACGACCUACGGGUGAAAGCAGGGGAUCUUCGGACCUUGCGCGAUUGAAUGAGCCGAUGUCGGAUUAGCUAGUUGGCGGGGUAAAGGCCCACCAAGGCGACGAUCCGUAGCUGGUCUGAGAGGAUGAUCAGCCACACUGGAACUGAGACAAGGUCCAGACUCCUACGGGAGGCAGCAGUGGGGAAUAUUGGACAAUGGGCGCAAGCCUGAUCCAGCCAUACCGCGUGGGUGAAGAAGGCCUUCGGGUUGUAAAGCCCUUUUGUUGGGAAAGAAAAGCAGCAGGUUAAUACCCCGCUGUUCUGACGGUACCCAAAGAAUAAGCACCGGCUAACUUCGUG